This is a long non-coding RNA of Mobula hypostoma (lesser devil ray), 4638 nucleotides long. RefSeq lists it as uncharacterized. NCBI's taxonomy places the organism in Eukaryota, Metazoa, Chordata, Chondrichthyes, Myliobatiformes, Myliobatidae. The record is from RefSeq and is a predicted model, not a curated record. The transcript is spliced from 3 exons.
ACAAAAUGACAAUUAAAACAUUUCACAGAUCUUUUGUUUUGAAAAAUUACGUACAGAGCCUCAAUCAUUACAUUUUAUACGAUUUCCUCAACCAGUUCACAGUCCUAUCCUACAGAGCCAUUUGGGAAUUUAAAAUUUAUCUUUAUUGUCAGAAAUAAGCAAUCAUUCAUUUUUUAGUAAAAUUUUCCAGGCUGGUAUUACCCAUUUAAAGGGCACUUUAAAUCCAGAAUUUUAAAAAUAACCUUCAGUGCUCAAAGACUAAAAAAAACAUUCUAAGCCAAGCAUAAUGGACCUGCAGGGACAAAAUUGCUUACUGAUAAUUUCCAUCAUAUUUGAAAUUAACUUCAAACCAAAGUACAUUCAGCUUCAUCUAAAUGUGGUAGCUCAAAAAUACCUUCACUGCAAAGCACAUUCACCCCAACAGGUAUAGAUUUAGUAACAAAAAUGAUAGAAUUAGAUAGCUAUAACCAUGGUAAAAUUGCAGAUGUUAUUUUUUUGAAAUUGAUGUAUAAUGAGAAAUAAUUCAAUUUUUAUCAUACAUCUGAAAGCUGUAUGAAUGAAUAAUAUUAGCUCUAUAUCUCCCCAUAGAUAAGAAAUUACGAGCAAUAGAGACCGGUCAGUCAUGGAUUUGAUUUUCAGUUCAGUUCACUUAUCUUGAUGUCGCCAGUAACUAGUUACCCAGACUUAGAUCGGGAAGUGAAAUGUGGGUUGUCCUUCUGAAUCUAACAGGAAAUUGAUACAUUAAAGCUAUAUCAGUCACCUAUAAUUCAGUGGUCUUUCGAUGGGGUCACAUUGAACUCUGUGGUAAUAUUAGAGGAUGAUGAUCACAAAUAGAAUCUGAUAUCAGGUGGAGUAAAUGACAAGAAUCAAAUGCCAAAAUUAUCCUAUUCAGGUUACAAAAAAAUUCAGUGACAGAUCUUAUUUGUGUUUAUCUAGCAAAAUCCAAAUUGGGAAAGAAUGACCCAAUGUACCUUUUUGGUGUGGGGUUCAACAUUUGAGCCAGUUAUAUUUCUAGCGAGAGUCCUCAGGUGAGAGGAAGUAAGGUUGAUGGUAAGUGCAUCAAAUGCAGGCUGAUGGCAGUGUACAGUGCUGUUGGACAGGAACUUGACCUUCCACAAAAAUCUAAAAACUUCUUCAAAACUUCCAGUGGUCCUUUUAACAACUAUUACAUAGAACUCAAAACUGAAUGGGGCAUACAUCAGCUCAUGUGAGAUUGUUAACAAGAAAGCAAACGUCACUUGUACCUCUUAAAUCUUUCUCUAAAGGCUUUCAAGACAGUGAAAUAUUUAUCCAGGCCUUUUACAAACUCUAAUUUCCCACCACUGUUUCAAUAAGUCUCCCAGAAUACUCUCCUCUUCCUAGAUACGGGAGAAGAGUUUGCACAUAGAGCUGUACAGCACAAGAACAGGCCCUUUGGCCCACAACGUCUGUCGGAACAUGUCAAUUUAAACUAAUCUCAUAUGCUUACAAAUGGUCUACAUUCCUCCAUCUCCUGUCUAUGUGCCAGUCUUAAUGUUUCCACCAGCUGACAGUGCAUUCUGUGUAAAAUAAAAACAAGACUUACCUUGUAAAUAUCCUUUAAAACUCAUUCCCCACUCAUCUUAAAUCUAUGCAUUGGGAAUAAGGACUCUGACUAUCUACGCCAGACCACCCAUGAUUUUAUAAUGUACUAUCAGGACACCCACUAGCUUCUGAUCCUCCAGAGAAAACAAUCCAAAUUUGUCCAGCUUCCCCUUAUUGUGAAUACUCUCUAAUCCAGGCAGCGUACUGGAGAAUGUCUUCUGCACCCUCUCUAAAGCCUCCACGUUCUUCCUGCAUUGUGGUGAAUAGGAUUGCACAGAACACUCCAAAUGUGGCCUGUCCAACACUUUACACAGCUGUGUCAACUAUUAUACUCAAAACCCUGACUGCUGAAGGCAAGCAGGUCAUUCACCAACUUCAUCGGCCUAUCCACUUGUGUUACCACUUUCAAUGAACUACAGACUCACUGAUCCCACCAAGAUCCUUCUGUGCAUCAACGCCCACAAGAAUCCUGCCAUUUACUGUUUAAUUUCCUCAGACAUUCGACCUCCCAUAUUGUAACACUUCAUACUCGUCCAGAUUAAACUCUUGUCAUUUUUCUUCUUAUUUUUCAACUGAUCUAUAUCCUGCUGUAUCAUUUGACAACAUUCUGCAAUAUUCACAACUUUGCCAACAUUCAUGUAAUCUGCAAACUCACUAAUCAGCCAUUGUUAACCUGCUGUUGGGCCAAGGAUCCUGUUUCCUAAAUUUGCCAUCAUGAUUCUAAAGCAUUCAUUUUCUUUUCAAUAAGAAUGCCAAUCAGCCUAACCCUACUUAAACUUGUACGUGAAAAAGGAACUGAAUCACAUCAUUUGCUUCUAUUAAAGAUAUGAUUAGUAUUUUCCAAAGCUACUCAUCAGUCAAAUAAUCUUUACUGUCUUAUCAGUCUCAAAGUUCUUUUCCAGUGCAUAUCAAUUAACUAUUUACUUAUCAAACCAAGUGGAGAAAGUAAGCUUCUGCCUAACAACUUAAUGUUGGUAAAAGAAAACCAAUGGUUGCAAACUCAUGCAAAUGAAAAUUUAAAAACUUAAAAUACUACUGAUAUGAAAGGACUAGUCUUAGAUCAAUAAUGUAGUGUUUUUUUAAAAAUUUACACCAGAAAUGCCCUUACACUUUACAGUUACACCCAAAUCCUUCAAUUCCUGUUUUAGUUUCACUGUUUUAACAUGUCAAUCACUGUUAUUACUAAAGGUAAAUGAUAAUCAAAAAAAAAUUCCAACAUUAUAUAAAGUGUCACACAGCAAACAUUUGACAUGCAAGGGCAUGAUCCAAAAUCAGAGUUUAAGUGAGCAUUCCAAGGAACCGCAAAACACCGCUGGAAUGUUAGUAAAAGCAGUAAUGGACACAUGCUAUCGAAAGCUAGCACUGUAAAGUCACAUACAGUUAAUCCAGAUUAAAUUCAGAACAAAAUGAUAAACUUCAUUCAAAGACACACUAUUCUUAUUAGUAGGGCCACAUUCUAAAAAAGGAAGAAUGUCUAUUAUGUAUUUUUGAAGAGCAAAAUUUGAAGAAUAAAAUGGGUUGCACAGUAUAAUGCUCACUUUGUUUCAGCUAAAUAAUAACAGUAAAUUAUUAUAAUUGGCCUCAUUUACCUAGCACCUCUGUCAUAGUUAAAAUACUGAGGCACUUAAAUUUUAAACAUGCUUUAGAUUGCUUUAUUUACAGAAAUCCCAAUAAGCCUUUUCUGCAUGGAAAUUGAGUUUUUUUCUUCUUUGAAAUACUGAAGUUAUACAAGGAACUGAAGAAAGUGGCCACCCAGAUCAAACAGAGGGACUGCGAGUUUAUUUGGGCCUUAACCAACCAUUCUGCUGGGUUUACGGUCAUUUCUGCUAAGCUAAAAGUGACUUUGGAUUGGACCAGAUUGUAAUCGGGGAAACUUGUUCAGAUAACAAUGAAUGAAGUACAAUACAGCCAAUAUCAUUUAGUAUAGUGGCUUCUUUGGAUAAAGUGGGCACUCUGAUCAGAGUGGAAGAAUUCUAACAUUUUUUUCUUCAUACUGGCAACAAAGAAUGAGAUAUGAGAGAGGUUAAAUAUCCCUUUGGGAAUGGUUUCACCACUCAAUAAAUGUAUUAAAACAAUGCAACCUUCAGUUUCCACUAAAACCACUUGGAAACUACCAAUCUGAACACUAAAACCAUUCCCUCAUAGGCAUAAAUGGUCUAUCCAUUUCUCAGUGUUUUCUGGUUGCAUUAGCAUUACUUGUGUCUCUUUGCUAGAUGGUGCUGAUGGCUGACUGGUGGCUCCUGGAGGUCACUGCCAUGUGCCGCAGUGGGCACAUGAUCACAUUCUGAACCUUUGCCCCAAAGCACAGAAUAUGCCGGAGGUCAGAUGCAGGCACACUGAGGGAGUGCAGGCACCCCCUAUCUGGUUCCUCAACUUUAUGCCAGCCAUAACAGGUACAUCUAGCACAGCCCUACACAGUGGAGAGAGAGAACAACUUUCACUGAAUACGUUGCACAACUAACCCUCACAGUAUAGCGGCCAUUUAUCCUUCAACAUGCAAUCUUUGGAAGUUGGGAAGAAACCAGAGAAUCUGUAAGAAAUCCACAAGGUGAACAUGUAGACCCCACACAGACAGCACAGGAGGGUCCUUUUGAAGACCCUGACCUGGAGUUGCAUGCAGGCGUCAGUUCUUUGUGGGAAUGGGACCCGUUCUCGGGAUUCCACAACUGGCCCCUUUUUGACAGGCCAAGGGUCUGGCCUGAGAAUCUCAAUUGUGUACGGAAGCCUAAGAUCUCGGGGCUCUGGAGACGGGUGGAUCGAGGGUUGGUGUCACGGCAGGAAACUCGUGUGUCGUCGGGGAGGCCGGAAAAUCUUUCGCUGUGGGCCCGAAGACCCGAGUUCUUUGUGAUCUUCGAACACAGAGCUCGAAAAAAAGCGAUGAAACAGACUUUUAAGAUCGUAAACCAGCGGGUUGUUGUUAUUUCUCCUGCUCGCUGUGAAAAUGGGGGACACCUCCCUCUCACUCGCCAGGGUGAGACAGAACCUGUGAUUUGUCGAAUUUCGGAUGAAACACGAAGCUUUUGGGGUAACUUUGGUCUGUGUCUUUGCUAUUACUUAGCACACGCUUGGGCUCGG